CACUGUUCACACUGCGAGACGCUGACUGGUGGACGGUUUCUAUAAGCAGGUGCCGCUGUUACUGUAAAGGAAAAUGUCCUCUAAUGAGGAAUUUUAAGAGGACAUCUGUACUUUUGAGGGGACUUUACACAGUUAAAACAGUAGUUUCCAUACAUCGUACGUAUAUCUGGGGCCUCAGGAUGAAGCGUAAUGUUUGGGACAAACUUUCCGCUUCACAGACCAACAAGAUCAUUAGGGUUCAUCCUCACUACAAAAAUAUCUAAACCUGAGGUGUAAAUCAGUGUCCUGAAGCGACUCGUCUCCGAGUCUGCGGGCGGUUCAGCGGUGUCGCUGUGACGAACCUGAGCGCUCGCAGCAUGAACACGUGGUUAGUCUUCAGUUUUAACUCAUGUAGCCUCAACAGCCAAAUUACCUCAAAACAUGUUUAAAAUUAAGUUUAAAAAACAAACCAGAUUCGCAGAAACUUACCUGUUGUUGUUAAACGUUAGUGAACGUUAAAAGCUUUAGAAACCGUUGGAGACAGACAGGAAGUCAGGCAGCAGACCUGCGUGUUCUGAAUUUGAAUUUUGCUAACGAUGCUAGUCACUGUUGCUACAGUUUCUCCUCUGAUGAGAAGCACAUAGGCUGAUGGUAGCUAAGCUAACAGUAAAUAAUAAAGCUAGUCAGUCCUGCUAAAUGCUACAGAGCCGACCGCUUCACGGAGAACUCCAGGAAGUGUUUGGCUCACUGCAAACACUAAAAUUACACUUGAGAUAAAUAUACGGAGAGCUGAGAGAUAAUAUAUAUGUAUAAUAUGUGACCGUCUGUGUUCAGUACAGAGCUGGAGUCAGGACGUGGUUAGCCUAGCUUAGCAUAAAGACUGGAAACAUGUGGAAACAGCUAGCCUCCAAUGCUCACUGAUUAACACGUUGUGGCUCGUUUGUUUAAUCUGAACACAAACAGAAAUAUUUUAAAUCAGUUUGUGGUUUUGGGGGAGUUACGUGCUGGAACUGUUUCUUGGCCGGGCGCGGCGGCUUUCCCGUCGUCUCGUCACCCUGAGGUUGACACUUUUAUUUUGUAUUUGAUUGUUUGAAAAUCUAUUUCAACGCAAUAAAAAAGCUUCAAAAUUACUUUUAAAUGUGAAAUUCAGUUUGUGUAAAAACGUUAAAUUGAAAAGUUUUUUCCAGUUGUCCUGCCCUCGCUUUAAACUUAACGUUAAAACUCGACACAGUUCACAGCAGUGAGCUGCGAGGACGCUAGCACACGGAGAUGAAAAUACCUUCGUACUGUAGUCGGCUGUGGAAAAACUGCUUGAUGGUAAUAAUAAUGUAAUAAUAAUAAUUUUGAAUGGGAGACGGUAGCUUGGUUUUGUGCUCGUAAGGAGUUUGAGUUUAUUUUUAGGUGUUAAGUGAGCUAACGUUGUGUUGUUGAAACCUCAGUAACGCACAGAGGCGGAAUUCGGGUUCCUUCUGCUUGUUUUACCUUUGUGUGUCUGGCUUCUCCGUUGGCUUAAAGAACAAAUAAACCACAUUAGACUCUAAUGUCAUCAGGCUCUUCUUUGAUGACAAAAUCAGGAAGCGUUUCUUUAACAAGUCAGUAAUUUUGAAAAACCUGAAAUUCAAGAAAACAAAACAAAUGUUCUCACAUCGCCCAGUUUGACUGAUUCACAUCAAAAUUCAAACUCAGAACAGGUGAAGUGAGUUCACACGUUAGUGACAGUCUGUGUUAGUCGAGGGGACGUCAGCCAAUCAGUGACAUGCAAAAAACAACGAGGAGAGGAGGAACGAUGGAGGGACAGGUGAGAGAAAAGAGGGAUGGAUGGACAGAGCUCAGUACCGGCCAAUCAUGGAGGGUUUGGACAGACCAGCGGCGGGAGGCAGAGAUUGGGAGCUUCUGAUUGGAGGAGAAUAGGAAGAAGGCGUGGCCCACAGCAGCAUGGGGGCAGGUGAUUGGCCGGAGAAAAACAACACAUGAAAAAAUAAAAAAAAAAACAAAUAGAAGCCCAUCAGGGAGACAGCCAGUGAGACAGAGACGGGACGUUUACAUCCCGUCUCCACAAGACAUCAGCGAGCUCGCCAGGUGUGUCGGCUACUCCGCCGUCACCUCAUUGGCUGGCAGCGCUCCACAUUCCCAGGCCCCAUGAACUACCCAUCGGCUCAGCGGUGGACUGCGAAGGAGGCGGAGCUUCACAUAGGACACGGCGAACGUGUACAGGUUGACCAGAGAGAACUCCUGCUGCAGAGUCUGAGGGACACCUGAACCCACCGCCGAGUCCUGACGACCUCCAGAGCUCAGAGCGCCGUCCGGAUCUGAGAGACGACAGGACGGACAGACGACAGGAAGGUUUUCAGAGGCGGGGCCGACGCUGUGCGGACUCUCCUGAGACGACAGAGACUUCGGCUCCACGGUGAGAGACAUCCCCUCCAUCAGGUCCUCCACCACGUCGCUGACACACAGCUACACAACAACAACAACAACAACAACACGCAGACAUCAGCACCAGCCAGAGGCAGGAGCACAGUCACCUCUCUGAGGCUGCACACCGACCUUCUGCAGCUGAGGAUCCACCCUCCAUAUCCUCAGAGUCUGGUCUCUGGACCACGUGACCAGCUGGUAAUCCUUAGAGCCUGCAGAGUCAACAAGCAGCCGUCAGGCUUCAUCCACCGCUAACUUCCACACCGCACAAAAAUAUUAGAAAUAACUACUGACAACAUUUGAGCUACGGAGAUACGGACAAAAUGAACACGACAGUACAUCGGUGUUUAUAUACGCACGAGUCGACACUCGGUGUCAGCAAACGCUGACAGACCACCCGAAACAUCACAGGAACACUUUGUGGGACUUAAUGGACGUAAUUCUAUAAACUAUAAAAGCUGUUUUUUUAGAGGCAAAGCUCAUAUGAACGGCUGAGGACAACAGACUGAUAUCAGCGUCAGAAAGGAAAAAGCAGAAUUGUAACGUCUCUAUUUUUAUUAAAAACAACAUGUUAAAGCCA
This is a long non-coding RNA of Siniperca chuatsi (mandarin fish), 2974 nucleotides long. RefSeq lists it as uncharacterized. Lineage: Eukaryota; Metazoa; Chordata; Actinopteri; Centrarchiformes; Sinipercidae. The transcript has 3 exons. The record is from RefSeq and is a predicted model, not a curated record.